This 200-nucleotide unclassified non-coding RNA is filed under the name soil metagenome. RNAcentral describes it as "partial contains internal transcribed spacer 2 and large subunit ribosomal RNA". The record is from RNAcentral.
GCGUCAUUUCAACCAUCAAGCUCUGCUUGCGUUGGGGAUCCGCGUCUGACGCGGUCCCUCAAAAACAGUUGGCGGGCUCGCUAGUCACACCGAGCGUAGUAACUCUACAUCGCUAUGGUCGUGCGGCGGGUUCUUGCCCGUAAAACCCCCCAUUUUUUAAGGUUGACCUCGGAUCAGGUAGGAAUACCCGCUGAACUUAA